GACGAACGCUGGCGGCGUGCUUAACACAUGCAAGUCGAACGGAAAGGCCCUGCUUUUGUGGGGUGCUCGAGUGGCGAACGGGUGAGUAACACGUGAGUAACCUGCCCUUGACUUUGGGAUAACUUCAGGAAACUGGGGCUAAUACCGGAUAGGAGCUCCUGCUGCAUGGUGGGGGUUGGAAAGUUUCGGCGGUUGGGGAUGGACUCGCGGCUUAUCAGCUUGUUGGUGGGGUAGUGGCUUACCAAGGCUUUGACGGGUAGCCGGCCUGAGAGGGUGACCGGCCACAUUGGGACUGAGAGACGGCCCAGACUCCUACGGGAGGCAGCAGUGGGGAAUAUUGCACAAUGGGCGGAAGCCUGAUGCAGCAACGCCGCGUGCGGGAUGACGGCCUUCGGGCUGUAAACCGCUUUCGCCUGUGACGAAGCGUGAGUGACGGUAAUGGGUAAAGAAGCACCGGCUAACUACGUGC
This 469-nucleotide ribosomal RNA is filed under the name uncultured bacterium. Its description in RNAcentral is "partial 16S ribosomal RNA". It matches the Rfam family "Bacterial small subunit ribosomal RNA", at positions 28 to 508 of the family's 1533-position model. The record is from RNAcentral.